Molecule: long non-coding RNA, 529 nt
Organism: Poecilia latipinna (sailfin molly)
Lineage: Eukaryota; Metazoa; Chordata; Actinopteri; Cyprinodontiformes; Poeciliidae
Exons: 2
Source: RefSeq, a predicted model, not a curated record
UGUUUGCUAAGUCAAUUUAUAACAUCACAAAACUGUCAAGAACAGGGCAAAAAAAGUCCUAUAUUACACAGUCAGCACACACGUUGUAAAACAAAGUGCACCCUCUGUUAGUUCUGGGGUUAUAUUUUGUAAAUAUAACCCUCUUUACUGGUUUGUGAAAUUAUUUUUAAUUUUGCCUUAGAGGUAGAAAUACACACAUCGGAGAUUGUGCCAGUUCAUUGAUUCAAUAAACAAAUUGGAAGAAAAGCCUUGACUACAUGAUUUCUACCUGAUUUGCACUUGUAUCUGUUAUGUACAUCUGUAGCUAAAUGCAGACAUUGUCCCGUUGGCUGGUAUUUUGGAUUACAAAAUGUAAAGUUUCCUAAAGGUAUCAUCUUUGGUCAUGUUGUUAUGUGCAAACGUUGCUAGGAAACGCGCUUUACUUAUGGUUUUCUGCAGCAUUUGGAAAUCCUCCUAAACGUGAUCCGACAGUCGCACUAUGACCAAAUCGGUCUGAAAUAAUCUUUUGUCCUGCAUUUAAACCAUGAAA